RNAcentral lists this ribosomal RNA (466 nucleotides) under uncultured bacterium. RNAcentral's name for it is "partial 16S ribosomal RNA". It matches the Rfam family "Bacterial small subunit ribosomal RNA", at positions 28 to 507 of the family's 1533-position model. The record is from RNAcentral.
GAUGAACGCUGGCGGCGUGCUUAACACAUGCAAGUCGAACGAUGAAGCCCAGCUUGCUGGGUGGAUUAGUGGCGAACGGGUGAGUAACACGUGAGUAACCUGCCCUUAACUCUGGGAUAAGCCUGGGAAACUGGGUCUAAUACCGGAUAGGAGCGCCUACCGCAUGGUGGGUGUUGGAAAGAUUUAUCGGUUUUGGAUGGACUCGCGGCCUAUCAGCUUGUUGGUGAGGUAAUGGCUCACCAAGGCGACGACGGGUAGCCGGCCUGAGAGGGUGACCGGCCACACUGGGACUGAGACACGGCCCAGACUCCUCCGGGAGGCAGCAGUGGGGAAUAUUGCACAAUGGGCGAAAGCCUGAUGCAGCGACGCCGCGUGAGGGAUGACGGCCUUCGGGUUGUAAACCUCUUUCAGUAGGGAAGAAGCGAAAGUGACGGUACCUGCAGAAGAAGCACCGGCUAACUACGUG